GGAAAUAUGAAUUGAAAGAUGUAGAAAACCUAAGAGUCUUUUCUUGAUUAUGUUCACCAAGUAAACAGAUGUCAUAUUUGUCUUUAAAUAGCAGGUGUAUACACAUCCAACGGGAUGUCAGGGAAGACUUGGGCAGUAUGGAGAGGCCAUGCCACCACUGGUUUUCUGUUGCCAGUUUGAAACUCUCAUCCUGAGCUGCCUGACGAUGAGGUCAAGUUGCACCUCACGCAGCAAAGG
This is a non-coding RNA of Pelobates cultripes (western spadefoot toad), 237 nucleotides long. The record is from the annotation of a GenBank genome assembly. NCBI's taxonomy places the organism in Eukaryota, Metazoa, Chordata, Amphibia, Anura, Pelobatidae.